RNAcentral lists this ribosomal RNA (253 nucleotides) under uncultured bacterium. RNAcentral describes it as "partial 16S ribosomal RNA". It matches the Rfam family "Bacterial small subunit ribosomal RNA", at positions 524 to 776 of the family's 1533-position model. The record is from RNAcentral.
UACGGGGGGAGCAAGCGUUGUUCGGAUUUAUUGGGCGUAAAGAGCGUGUAGGCGGCUUUACAGGUCCGUUGUGAAAACUCGAGGCUCAACCUCGAGACGCCGGUGGAAACCGUAAAGCUAGAGUCCGGAAGAGGAGAGUGGAAUUCCUGGUGUAGCGGUGAAAUGCGCAGAUAUCAGGAAGAACACCCGUGGCGAAGGCGGCUCUCUGGGACGGUACUGACGCUGAGACGCGAAAGCGUGGGGAGCGAACAGG